Molecule: long non-coding RNA, 395 nt
Organism: Photinus pyralis (common eastern firefly)
Lineage: Eukaryota; Metazoa; Arthropoda; Insecta; Coleoptera; Lampyridae
Exons: 3
Source: RefSeq, a predicted model, not a curated record
CCCAGCAAAGAGUUGCUCAGUGUUGGGAAUCAACAUUCCGUAUUAGGCAAAAACGAUACAAAAGUGAACCCAUAGAAACAUAUUUUGAAGCAUUUCCUUCUUUAAAACUCCAAUUCGGAAUUGAGCUGUUGGAGAUUGACUUUAAUACUUUACAUCCAAAUAAAGCGAACAUCAUUUACGAAAAUUGGCCAAGUGUUUCAAAAGCAAUAUUAUCCGAAGCUAAAGAACGAAAAAUUAUUAUUGAAGAAAGAAACGAAGAUUUGUCAACAAGUGCACUUCUAUGCUUGCCAUAUUUAUUUUCCCCAACUACUGUAAAAAAUAGUAGUAAAAAUAAAAUUGGGAACUGGCGUCCAAGCCGACUUGAAGUUCAGCAUAGUUUUUUCUUCUGUACUAAA